This is a small nucleolar RNA of Lycium barbarum (goji berry), 107 nucleotides long. NCBI's taxonomy places the organism in Eukaryota, Viridiplantae, Streptophyta, Magnoliopsida, Solanales, Solanaceae. The record is from RefSeq and is a predicted model, not a curated record.
AAAUCAUGUUUUAGAGACUGCAUCAAGUACUACUUGAACCUCUCCCAAGUUUCAUACAAUUGUUCCACUGGAAGUUGCUUGAACUCAAAAAUAUUGUCUCAGAGUUC